Molecule: ribosomal RNA, 364 nt
Filed under: Paragiopagurus pilimanus
Lineage: Eukaryota; Metazoa; Arthropoda; Malacostraca; Decapoda; Parapaguridae
Also listed under: 1 other name
Description: partial small subunit ribosomal RNA
Source: RNAcentral
GAAAUUAUUUGUGGGCUAGAGUAUUAAUAGUUAUAUUCUUGAAAUUCAAAGAAUUUGGCGGUACUUUAAUCUUAUUAGAGGAACCUGUUUUAUAAACGAUAUUCCACGUAAAAUCUUACUUAUUUUAAAUAGUUUGUAUACCGUCAUUAAUAGAUAAUUUUGUAAAGUUUAAUUNUUAUAAUUAAUAGUUUUAAAUAUAUUAGAUCAAGGUGCAGCUUAUAGAUAAGAAAAAAUGGGUUACAAUAAAUUAAUUUAUAACGGAGUUAAAAUUUAAAUAAUUAAUAAAGGAGGAUUUAAUUGUAUAAUUAAUUNAAUAAGUUAAUUAGAAAAUGGCUCUAAAGUAUGUACAUAUCGCCCGUCGCUA